This 448-nucleotide long non-coding RNA is filed under the name Physcomitrium patens. RNAcentral's name for it is "long non-coding RNA (PPAT_LNC000886)". The record is from RNAcentral. Lineage: Eukaryota; Viridiplantae; Streptophyta; Bryopsida; Funariales; Funariaceae.
GAGGAAGUCUAUAAUUACAGAAAUUGUGUGGAUCUAGAUUGGUUGGAGUGAAGUCUAUUUUUUUGGUGUUGAAUGGGAAUUAUUGUGUUUUGAGCAGUCUUUUGAGAGUGCACGGUUGUACUUUGUAGUUACCAAUUGAUGAAGGAAUAUUGUUCCUGGAAGGAAGCAUUGUAGUAUUUCUUGAUGUUUUAGUGGUUCAGAUUACAGUGAUUUGAGUGAUCCUAAUUUGUAAGCUCAUGCACUUAGUCUUUUCCUGAGUUCAAAUUUUCCUGUACAAGUUUAUUCUAUAAAGAAUUUGUAAAAUAAGUAAAACGAUAAUUACUUUUUGGCGCCGCUACCGGGGAUUGACAAUAGCAUUGAGGGUUACGAAUUAACUCUUGAAUGAGUAGAUGAGAAAUAAGAAUCAAAUUCAGCAGUAUAUAAUGAAAGAUUAUGGUUAUUAAGAAUG